UUGAAAUAUCUUUUUCCUUGAAUGUAACCAAGUUGGUGUUAAAGAGCAAAGCCUAUAGAGCAGGUAAAAACUUCUACUCUUCUUCUCCUUGAACUCAACACUCCAUAAACCCUGCUAUCUCAAGCUUUUACCACAUCAUUGAACUACAAACCCGAUUUGAACCCACGAAGUCUUGUCGUCUUCAAACACCAUAUCUGCAAUAUGAAGCCCACAGAGCAUCGUAGGACACGGUGAAGCCCUAACCCAGACCUGAAACCCUAAUCCGAAACUUAGAAAAUUUGUCCAUCCUCUGCCCAUAGAAGAACUAACCCAAAUAUUGUUGAUCUUAUGCAAUUGAUUGAAUGAGAAUUUACUGCCCACCCUAGGAUUUAGUGUCUUGGUAUCAAUACUUUGAUUUUAAUUGAUUUGUUACGUUAAUGUUGAUCUUCAAGUGGCGAACGUCGGAAAAGAGUCCUUACAAUGGGGACUGGCUGAGGAGUGUAUUCAGGUCUCACUUAUGGGCUAAAGGAGGCUUGUGGAGUUCAUGAUUGGGGAGAUGCAAUGUGUGAAUUCUUUGUAUGGACGAAUAUAUUACAGUUGCUAGAGGAAAACAUCUUAUUAAGAGAGACUAAGGCUUGGAAGACAUGGGAUGAUGUAUUAUAGCGCAAAUAUGCCGUUCGGAAAAAUGGAAGAUAAAGUGAGAGAAAUGACAAAGAAUCUAAAAAAGGAAAAGCGAAAGUUAUUGUAUUUGUAUUGGAUUGUCAUCUUUGUUAUUUUGUUUGCUUGGUUUGGAUAAAUUCCAUAUAAAAAGUCAUUAGGUUUAUUUUGACUGGUUUAAGUAACCAUCUAUCUUAUAAGGUGGUUCGUGCACACAAUAUUUGUGUAUAUUUUGUUUUUUUAUUUUGGGCUCUAAUAAGAAAUUUAGCUUUGAAUCCAU
Juglans regia (Persian walnut) is the source of this 916-nucleotide long non-coding RNA. RefSeq lists it as uncharacterized. The record is from RefSeq and is a predicted model, not a curated record. NCBI's taxonomy places the organism in Eukaryota, Viridiplantae, Streptophyta, Magnoliopsida, Fagales, Juglandaceae. The transcript is spliced from 3 exons.